GCCGAAAUAGCUCAGUUGGGGGAGAGCGUUAGACUGAAGAUCUAAAGGUCCCUGGUUCGAUCCCGGGUUUCGGCA
Non-coding RNA from Caerostris extrusa, 75 nucleotides. NCBI's taxonomy places the organism in Eukaryota, Metazoa, Arthropoda, Arachnida, Araneae, Araneidae. The record is from the annotation of a GenBank genome assembly.